UACAGAGGUGGCGAGCGUUGUUCGGAAUUACUGGGCGUAAAGGGCGCGUAGGCGGUCUUGCAAGUCUUGUGUGAAAUCCCUCGGCUUAACUGAGGAACUGCACGAGAUACUGUUUGACUUGAGUUCGGGAGAGGGAAGCGGAAUUCCGGGUGUAGUGGUGAAAUGCGUAGAUAUCGGGAGGAACACCAGUGGCGAAGGCGACUACCUGGCCUGUUCUUGACGCUGAGGCGCGAAAGCUAGGGGAGCAAACGGG
RNAcentral lists this ribosomal RNA (253 nucleotides) under uncultured bacterium. RNAcentral describes it as "partial 16S ribosomal RNA". It matches the Rfam family "Bacterial small subunit ribosomal RNA", at positions 524 to 776 of the family's 1533-position model. The record is from RNAcentral.